Molecule: small RNA, 271 nt
Filed under: Vigna angularis var. angularis
Lineage: Eukaryota; Viridiplantae; Streptophyta; Magnoliopsida; Fabales; Fabaceae
Description: Non-protein coding transcript
Source: RNAcentral
UUCUAAGCAAUUGAGAUGGAUCUACUGGCGAGGAUUUCCUUUAAACUACAUACCUAACAACUUUUAUCUGAAAGAGGCAAUUGUGAUUGAUUUCCAACACAGUAAUCUUAGACUAAUGUGGAAUGAACCCCAGGUGCUGCGGUGGCUGAAAAUCCUCAAUCUCAGUCAUUCCAUGUUCUUAAUUGAAACUCCCGACUUUUCAGAACUACGAAAUCUUGAAAAGCUCAUUGUCAAAAAUUGUCCAAGAUUGCGCAAGGUACACCAAUCCAUU